AUUGAACGCUGGCGGCAGGCCUAACACAUGCCAGUCGAACGGUAACAGGAAGAAGCUUGCUUCUUUGCUGACGAGUGGCGGACGGGUGAGUAAUGUCUGGGAAACUGCCUGAUGGAGGGGGAUAACUACUGGAAACGGUAGCUAAUACCGCAUAACGUCGCAAGACCAAAGAGGGGGACCUUCGGGCCUCUUGCCGUCGGAUGUGCCCAGAUGGGAUUGGCUAGUAGGUGGGGUAACGGCUCACCUAGGCGACGAUCCCUAGCUGGUCUGAGAGGAGGACCAGCCACCCUGGAACUGAGACACGGUCCAGGCUCCUACGGGAGGCAGCAGUGGGGAAUAUUGCACAGUGGGCGCGAGCCUGAUGCAGCCAUGCCGCGUGUAUGACGAAGGCCUUCGGGUUGUAAAGUACUUUCAGCGGGGAGGAAGGGAGUAAAGUUAAUACCUUUGCUCAUUGACGUUACCGGCAGAAGAAGCACCGGCUAACUCCGUG
Molecule: ribosomal RNA, 490 nt
Filed under: uncultured bacterium
Lineage: Bacteria
Description: partial 16S ribosomal RNA
Rfam family: Bacterial small subunit ribosomal RNA
Source: RNAcentral